Molecule: long non-coding RNA, 1218 nt
Organism: Zalophus californianus (California sea lion)
Lineage: Eukaryota; Metazoa; Chordata; Mammalia; Carnivora; Otariidae
Exons: 4
Source: RefSeq, a predicted model, not a curated record
GACGGGCAUUGCAGCGGGGGUGAAGGGAAGCUGCCCUGGAUGGGGGCAGGGCCUCACCUUGGCCAUGAUAUCAGCAUACGCCAUGUACAGGUAAUCCUCGUCCAGUUUGCUGAGUAAGUAAGAGGGGGAGAUGGUCAGGGCCCAGUGGAGACAACCACCAUCCUAUAACCGCUUCCAGUUUCCCUUUGGAGAGCCGCCCCUCCCCAUGCUCAGGCUGUGUGGUUCAGGGAGGUCCACUGUCCACUGCCAGAGAGGGCGUGCGAUCGAGGCUGAGUUCAGUUGCCCUGGCCACAGUAAUAGGGACAAGAUGGUCCUGUGCUUCAUGCGGGUCCACUGGAAUUCAUUCUGGGAGUUUUGCCAGAGCAGUUGAUAGAGGUGCCCCCUUUCCACUGGGGUUGUGAAAAUAGUGUGUUCAACACCUGGAGCCAUCCUGCUGUUGGCUCAUUUGACAACUAUGACCACCCACCCACUUGGGUCUCCUCAAGAAGAAGAAGAAGAAUGGAAGUAGCGGCCAACACCUAUUGAGUGUUUACUCUAGCAAGACACUUUCAUCCAGCAAAGCUUCAACUGAUAUUGCCUAUGAUGUGAGCUCUUCAGAAGAGAUGGCUUGCGAAGUGCUCAGCCAACAAAAUGGGACACAGUGGCCCUGCCUGUCCGGGGAAAGCAGGCCCCAGCUCACUGAAAGGUCGUCGAUCAUGCGGUCUUCAAAACUGUGGUCUUCAGUCAGGAUCCACGCGGCCUUGUAGCUCUCCAGGAACAUGUUACAGGCCCGGUGCCUGCAGGGGAAAGCCCGGGGCGAAAUUGCCCAUCUAGGUCCAGGCCCAAAUUCAGGCCUGACUCGCGGGGCCGGAGGAACACGCUGGCUGCACCAACAGAGUCAAGGUUCAGACUUGGGCUUUUCUUCCAGACCACGCUCUUUCCUAGGCCCUGCCCACAGGUCCCGGGUCGUUAGCCAGGCCCGCCAAGCCCCACCCACGGCCCCGCCCAGAGUCAAGGCGUCUUGAGUCCAGGCCCCACUCUAGACCCCAAAUUCUGACCCUGGCCCCGCCUCUAGGCUCAAGAUUUAAGCACCAGGUCCUGCCCCAGAUCCAAGUUUCCAUUCUAAGCCUCGCGUUAAACUCCAGGCUUCACCCAGGCCCCGCCCAGAGACCCAAGGUUCCUCCUCAGACCCCGCCCCCAGAUCCAAGGCCCGCCCCUUGCCCCGCCCAGAGACCCACG